Molecule: long non-coding RNA, 926 nt
Organism: Trifolium pratense (red clover)
Lineage: Eukaryota; Viridiplantae; Streptophyta; Magnoliopsida; Fabales; Fabaceae
Exons: 3
Source: RefSeq, a predicted model, not a curated record
UUACGAAUUGUAUGAAGUCUGUCCUUUUCAAUUCUUUCUCUGCUUCGUUGCCAGCACAACACACCAAGUCCAUCUUCAUUCUUCAAGUUCACUCAUCCAAACAUACAUGUGGGUUAAACUCCAUCAUAAAUCCUAUUUUCUUCCAUCUAUUCAAGUUAAAUCUCAAAACCCCAAUCUUUAUGCCUUCUCUUUUGGUUGGUGCAUGUGACGAAUUGAGUAACCACAAGUUGAUGGAAGAUAAGGGAAAUCAAGUUGAGAGCCUCGUGUGAAAAGGUUGGAAGAGCUUGGGUCAAACCCGUAUUCUAGAACAGGGCUUUACUAAAACGGUAACUGCUCCUUCUGUGUAACUCUGAUUUAAAUUCCUUCUGUAAAUUUCGUCUUUUGACGAGUCCGGGAGCUGUCGAUGACAUUUCACAGUAAAGGGGUUUCAAUGACAAAGUUCAAAGUUGGAAAUAAAACUACAGACUAGGAUCAAAUCAAAGAAUGAGCUUGUUGGAGGGAACUAAAAGUGGGAGCUUGGAACUAUGGUUGUGAUGCUCAAUUGUUGAGAAAGCUUCCAAUUUUAAAGGUACAAAUCCCCCCUCUGUGGAUUGCUCAACAACGAACGUAUUGCUGGCCAUCACAAUCUCUGAUCUCCAGGUUGAAGGAUUAGUUCUAUAUAGUGAAGAUUCAAUCAAUGUCGACUUUGGUGUUAUCAACGCUACGGAUUCGGAGGCAUGAACAUUCCGGACACUUCAAUAAUGUCAUAUUUAAAUUUGUAGGCUAUGCAAUUUGUCGUUUUAUGCUAUUAACAUGUAUAUUGUAAGUUUGUUCGCAGAUUUAUCUUUUUUGUUUUUAGCGACUUUGAAUUUGUAUUGCAUCGUAUUAUCAAUUUGAAUGAAUGAAUAUCUUUAUUUUGAGUAAAAAAAACUUCAUAAACAAUGGAA